This is a non-coding RNA of Equus caballus (horse), 868 nucleotides long. The record is from RefSeq and is a predicted model, not a curated record. NCBI's taxonomy places the organism in Eukaryota, Metazoa, Chordata, Mammalia, Perissodactyla, Equidae.
GCGCAGAGUGGCCAGGCCCGGCCCGCCCCUCGCCUCCUGACCCAGUCCCUGUGGGCACCAUCCCGCCCUCCCCUCAAGGUGGCCACGAGGGACUCCCCCUCCUCCUCCUCCUCCUCCUGGCCUCCAGUCCCAGCUCCCCGCGCUCUCACGCCCGCUCUCCCCCAGGACCCCUGCGAGACGCGGGUGUCCUGGACCCGACGCCCUCCACCCAAGGGGCAGCGGGGAGGUCUCUGUGCCCUGCACACGGCAGUUCUCAAACUGGACGGUGUCCAUCAGCAUCCUCCAGGAGGUCUGGGGGGACCCAGGAAUGCGCGUGCCCCACCUGUCCCCGCCGGCCCCCAAGCCUCGCUCCUGUCCCUGAACACCCCCCGCUGUAAACUCAGCAAGGAAAAACCUAAAAGCUGGAGCAAGUUGCUAGUCUCCUGCUAAGCGGGGCCAAGCGAGCGACCCUGGAUCCGCAUCCCUGCUAGGCCUGCCAUCACAAUUGGCCAAUUUCACCAGACAUUUCUCAAGAUCUAAGGCACAAUGUUCGUAAAGUCGUCCAGAAAAGGACAAGAGGGAUUUAAGAAGUAGGAAUGCCAGUCGAAGGAACUUGAUCAGGCCGCAGAAAGCGAAAUGACCAGAGAGCACAAGACUCAAAUUUGCAUCAGCCAGACAUGAAACUUUCAUCUUCCACCUACUUCUUUUUGCCUAAAAACAGGAACACAGAAUGUCUUGGCAAGGGUCACCCCAGGAGGAGGAGUAAGUUCCCAAAAAAGCAUAACACAUUUUUAUAAUUUAAUUAAUACAAUUUCUUUCGCUAUGUGUUUUUAUCAUUCGAGCUUUCUCAUGACCAGGCCGUUAAAUAAAUACAUACUUUUGCCUACAG